Long non-coding RNA from Oreochromis aureus, 2845 nucleotides. Lineage: Eukaryota; Metazoa; Chordata; Actinopteri; Cichliformes; Cichlidae. The record is from Ensembl.
CACACGCUUGGUUUCUGGAUCAUUUGCAUAAUUUCUAAUUAGUAAGUUUAUAAGUGAGGAACAAAAAUAGAGACGGAGGAAGUAUGAAAGUACACUGAGGAGGAGAUAAAGUGCACCCGGUGUUUAUGACAGGGGAGAAAUCUCAUAGGAAAGGGUGUAAGGUGAUAAUUUGACACACUAGCUGUCUGUGUGCUGCUCAGACCAGCUGAGACUCACAAAGAAGACAAGUCAAGCCUAAAUCUACAAAUACUCCUUCUCCUCUUUCUCCCCAGACUCAAUUGUGUCUUUGUCACAACUAGUUCUGGAGACCUGCUUGCCAACCACCGACGAGCUGGAAAUGCGGUGACCAACAUUCUGGCCAAAGAGCUGAUGCAGGAAGAUAAGCCUUCAUCGAGUAAACCUUCUGCAAAAAAGUUAAAGUCAGAUGAUAAAGUGGAGCCAAAACUAGAAGGAGCAGAGUCAUUAGAGGACUUGCUUGAGGCUGCGGCUUCUCGGUCUAGUUAGGUACCCAGGUAGAAGUUUGUUUUUGUUUUCUUUAUGUUUAGUUUUGAUUUUUUUUUUUUUUUUUUUUUUUUUUUAAACACAUACAGCCAGUCUAUCUAAAGUCAGAUUUAUCUUUCUUAGGCAUUCCAGGGGCCAAUAAUCAUCUGCUAUUAGUUUACUGAAUAAAGAUCUGCUUUCUUUUCCACAAAUGUCUUAAAAGGACCGUCUUUUAGAAUAGCAUUGUCUUUUGAGACGACAGAGAGAUGCAGAACUUAAGGGCGCUGCUCUCACCUCAGUUUCAACCUCCGCAUGGUCAUCACCAGCCUUGAGAACUCUGACACUGUCAUAAAGAUUGAAUUGCUUUUUCCAUCACAUGCACAUAAGGUGUUCAUGUUUAUUUUUUUUCUGUUUAUUUCUACAUCACUCGGUUCACCUGUCACUCAAAGGGCAUCUUUAGCCAUUCCAAAGACUUACUCAGGAGGAUCCACUUUGUUUCUUUUAUCUUUUUUCCCCUUCCUUUUUUGGUUAUUCCCAGAUUUAGACUGAGAAUGUGUGGAUUUUGGCACAUCCUGCAUCAUCUUGUCAGGAUGUUCCAGCCAAGACCACUUUGCGCUGUUUCUGUUUUUUGUUGAUGUUUUCUGUUUUUAAAGAGAUGAAACAAUUUUCUUUGUAAUUAUUUGAUAUUCCAUAUGUUACUGCUUGUAAUCAUUUUACUGUAUUAUUCAAAGUGCCAACUGAUAGAAAUCCAGUCUUAUCAUUUCACUUCUGGGUUUAAUCCGGUCACAGUUUGCACUGGUCCUGUCUGACACCUCAUCAACAGCAGUUAUCACCUGGGUUUAUAUUUCAGCAUGUUCUUUAGCGAGAAAGGGCAUAGCGCACGGGUGUCCAUGUGAUUAAAGGGAGAGAUUAAUUAUAUAAACUUGUCUGUUACCAUAUGUGCCCAUAUCAUUUAUAUGAAACAUGAACAUGAUUAUUCACACAAAAUCUAAAGGCGAGAUAAUCGAGAGCAAAAUUGUUCUUCCACAGAGUCCAACCAAAACAAAUAUUGCUUUUUCAGAGGGUGUUUCCAUACACACCCAGCCUGAGCAGUUUACAUGCCUGUGUGUUUGUAUAUGAAAAAGUCUGUGUGAAGUCGCUGCCUAUAUUUAGUCAGCUUCCUACAUGUGUGUGUUUGUGCUUGUAGGUUUGUGUGUACUGCCAUCCAUAAUUACUGUACGGUACCGACCAUGCUGUCAUAAAUGCUAGGUUUCAUGAGCAGCGUUUUGGUCUUUCUGCUGAAGAUAAAGCGCACUGGAAAACUGCCCAAAAACUGCUGAGAAGUAAGUGUGUGUGUGUGUGUGUGUGUGUGUGUGUGUGUGUGUGUGUGUGUGUGUGUGUGUGUGUGUGUGUGUGUGUGUGUGUGUGUGUGUGUGUGUGUGUGUGUGUGUGUGUGUGUGUGUGUGUGUGUGUGUGUGUGUGUGUGUGUUUCUCCCUCCCACUGAACUGCAGCAGUAGUUUUUGAAUGUCUGGCCCCGUUUCUAUUUGUAUUCAGCCAUCAGCAUACAUGUUGCCAUGAUGUUGUGGUGUACUAUUUGACAGGAAUCUGGUGAGACGAUGUAAGCUGCUCCAUGCAAUAUUUAUUACUAUGCAAGCACAUUAUUGUAGCACGCUCCCCAGACUUGAUACCUAGCCAGUCUCAGGAUGUACAAACCGCUGGCACACCUCGCACGCUCUUGAAUAAACCUGCUGGUUCAAGGUCAGUGCUUCAUGGCAGUGAUGACUGAGAAAAAUCCUUUUUGCUCCAAAACUUCAGCAUUUCAUGACAUCACUAGCAUUGUUAAUUCCAUCUUCCUAUAAGAAAGUGCUGUCUUUGGACUAAAUGGUAAUUAAACACAAUAAAAAGAAAUAAGAUGAAGCACUGGAGCACCUCCACUGAUGGUGCUUCAUUUUUAAUCAAGUAACACUGAGAAUAACAAAUAGUUUGUUGCGCCUCAUCUCAAGCACAAAUAUGUCGUAGUUGUAUUUAAGUGGUCGACACGGUUGCCGUUUUAUGUCUGCAAUAUUCUGCCCAUGACUUCAAGUGCAUACCUGUAGGUUGAUUGUGUGUAAUGCACCCUGAAAAACGAAUGUUUUUGAAGUGAGGAGCAAGGGAAAACUAGGAGGUAAACGAUGUCACUGGAAUAUUUUUGCAAAUUUGAGUUCUUCCUUUUCUCAACAACUUUUUUUUUUCUUUUUUUUAAGAUGUUGUUUUCUAUAUGAAUUUUAAACGAUUGAUUAUUUUAAUGUAAUUUUUUUUUCCAGAGAUUUCUGUAUGGAUAUAUAACAAUGCACCCAGUUGUCCUGUUUGUUACGCUGAACUAUUAUUAAAAAUGUCUUAAGUAAU